This 134-nucleotide non-coding RNA is filed under the name Apaloderma vittatum (bar-tailed trogon). RNAcentral describes it as "Eukaryotic large subunit ribosomal RNA". It matches the Rfam family "Eukaryotic large subunit ribosomal RNA", at positions 2836 to 2984 of the family's 3401-position model. The record is from Rfam by way of RNAcentral. Lineage: Eukaryota; Metazoa; Chordata; Aves; Trogoniformes; Trogonidae.
UGGACCAAGUGUUUAUAGAGAUGUUGCUCUGACGUUGGCUAUUCCUACCAUUCUGAAGCAGAAUUCACCAAGCAUUGGAUUGUUCACCCACUAAUAGGGAGUGUGAGCUGGGUUAGACUAGUGUGAGACAGGUU